GAUGAACGCUGGCGGCGUGUCUAAGGCAUGCAAGUCGAACGGACUGUUAUUUGUAGCAAUACUUAGAACAGUUAGUGGCAAACGGGUGCGUAACACAUUGGUAACCUGCCUCAAAGUCGGGCAUAAUCCCGCGAAAGUGGGACUAAUUCCACGAUAGUCAUCGAAGGUGAGAUUCCUUCGAUGUAAAGUCGCAAGACGCUUUGAGAGGGGCCUAUGGCCUAUCAGCUUGUUGGUGAGGUAACGGCUCACCAAGGCUAUGACGGGUAGGGGGUGUGAGAGCACGACCCCCCUCACUGGGACUGAGACACUGCCCAGACACCUACGGGUGGCUGCAGUCGAGAAUAUUCCCCAAUGGCCGAAAGGCUGAGGGAGCGACGCCGCGUGCAGGAAUAAGGCCU
This 398-nucleotide ribosomal RNA is filed under the name uncultured bacterium. RNAcentral describes it as "bacterial SSU rRNA". It matches the Rfam family "Bacterial small subunit ribosomal RNA", at positions 28 to 417 of the family's 1533-position model. The record is from RNAcentral.